GAAAGACUAGACUAGCUGUGUCUUCUGGCCUCCAUCUUUUUCUCAUGCUGGAUGCUUCCUGCCUCUAAACAUUGGACUCCACGUUCUUCAGCUUUUGGACUCUUGGACCUACACCAGGGGUUUGCCAGGGGUUCUCGGGCCUUCAGUCACAGACUGAAGGCUGCACUGUCAGUUUCCCUACUUUUGAGGUUUUGGGAUCCGGGCUGGCUUCCUUGCUCCUCAGCUUGCAGAUGGCCUGUUGUGAGAAUUCACCUUGUGAUCGUGUUGAGACAUUAACUCUAUGCCCAGAAGAACUUCAAAAAAUGUUGUAUUAGGGCGCACCAAGAGGAUGCAAAAAGAUUCAGAACUGCGGAGCUCUACAGAGCAGACGGUCAGUCUCCUCCCAAAACAAAUGGCACAACAGAAAUGGCGGAGGCAGGGCAAAAAUACUACUGACAAGAUUGAAAGAAGAUUGAAAGACACAUAAACCAAAGGCAAUGUGUGGCCCUUGCUGGAUCUUUAUUUGUGCAAACUCAAUGGUAAAAUUACAUUCCUGAGACCUUUUGGGGAAAUCCGAACAUUAAUUGAGGUAUAAGGUAUAUCUAUAAAGGUAUUCAUAAUUUUCUUUGGUGUGAUAAUGGUAAAGUGCUUAUUUUUCUUUUAAACUUUAUCAGUUGGAGAUACAUGGCUGGUAAAUUUACAGUGAAAUUACAUAAUGUCUGAAGUUUACUUUAAAAUACCUCAGAGGGGGAAAAAAGCAUGCAAAUGAGUGUGUGUAUAAGAGCUGGGAUACGUAAAACAGAACUGGCAAAUAUCAACAACCUGAGCUGAGGCAUGGGUACAGGAGAAGGCUCAUUCUGUAUUUUUGUGCAUGUUUAAACAUAUCCACAAUAAAAAUUUCCUAAAAAAAAAGUUGUAGUUGCUUAUUUCAAACUAGAAGGAAAAGUUACUAACACUGAUUUCACUCAAUCUAAACAGAGACUACUGCCAAGAGAAUGAUACUUUUCUAUUUAGUCUAGUGGUAGUGUAUGGAUAUAAAGUGAAUGUGGUUUCCAGAGAUAUACGGGAUUUGUUUUAAAAAUACUGGAACAUUUUUAUUUAAAGAUCAAAUCAGAGUUUGCCAUGUCAACUUAUAGUUUUAGCGUCAGCCAUCUAUAAAUUGAACAACUAAACUGUGUCAAAAGAACUUAAAGGCAAAUUGAAAACAUAUUCAUAUAACAAUAUCGUCCAAUUACAAUGAGUUGAGAUCUGGAAAAUGCAGAUAAUCCAUUGGGUUAUUUCCAAUCUUUAUUAAAAAAUAUUUAAUCUUUUUGAAUAAAAUACAUAAAAUAUACUGAACUUUAUUCAGUAAAUAUGAUACUGCAUUAUAAUUUAUGAAGGUGAAUCAUCUAGGAAAAGUUUUACAUCAUAAUGUACCAUUAAGUCUAUAGGAAUUUAAAAUCUAUAGGAAUUUAAAAUGUGUAAGUUUGUAUGAUUUGACAUAAUUUUAUGUAUGAAAUCUAAAUUGACGUGGCUUUCAUUUCUUAAAAGUUUAAAUGAUUUUACUUAUAAUUUUUAUAUAUUCAAAUCUAAACUGAAAUGCAACUUAUCUUUUAAAAAUUCCCAGGAAUUACACAGUAUCACGUAAUGAUGCUUAAAAUAAUUUUGACACUUCUUACUAAAGAAAGGUAUUUUAUAAUUUAUACCAGUCUGAGCUCUAAAUGAUACAGUAAGCCAAUUAAGUCAUUUCUUCACAUUUAGCUGCCUAGAAUUCCUGGGUUUUGCAAGAACUGAGAAGUGAAUUUUUAUCUCUAGAAUCAUGGCUUCUGAAUUAAAGUCUUGUUAGUAUAUGUAGUUAAGGGAAAUCUUGAAAUAUUAGAACUCCUAAAAUUGGACUCUCUAUAAUGCACACAUGAAAGCUUUCUCUUCUAGAACGGGACCAUCCACAAACACAAUUCUACCUGACUAAUAAUCAUGACAUUUCUAGACUCUCCCUCACUAGUAAUUAAACUUGGCAUAGUGUCAUUUUGUCUUUUGGUAAUAUAAACAGUAACAAAUUGCCCCCAGAUGUCAUUUUUUGCAUCUUAUCAUUGUGAGCAUAAAGAGGUAUCAUUUCAAUAAAUGAAGAAAAUGAGGAAGCAAAAUGGGAGGAAUUAAAAACUUGGUCCUCAGGAAAAUGGAAUACAUGCUCCCUUUUUGGAAACUGUCAGGAUUACCAGAAUUUAUAUAUCUCUUCUAUAGAGGUACUUUCCCUAACUUAGUAAAUAGUUGCUGAAUUUCAUAGAAAUCUAUUCACAGCAUAUUGAAUAUAGUCCUCUACAUUUUGAAAUCAGAUAACUUUCCUGGCAUGGUUUCUGUUUUGGUACACAUAUUAUUUAUCUAGAAGAAUAUAAUGCCUUUCAGUUGAAAUAUGUAUUUAGGUGCUUUUAAAGGAAGUCAAUUUUUAACCUUAAAACUGCUAAAAUUUACACUUUUUACUUGCUGACAUUAUUAAAUGCAUUUUACCUGACGGCAAAUCUUUCGAUAAGACAAUAGUUAUCUGAAGUUCACUGCCUUAACAACCAUUGGUUUUUUAAGGCAUUUAACUCUCAAUGUCCAAAACUACCUUACAAAACUCCCAAAACCAUAAAGAAAAUAAUUUAUGUAGAAAUCUUUUGCGUUCAAAAAGGUUACAUGUGAAGCUUAGAGAAAAUUAUUUACAAUUCUGUUUGUUCAAAUAUCUGCAAACAUAUGUUUGUGUUGAAUCUUUAAUUUUACUCGGGAGAAGUGAACAUUUAUAAUAACUUUUAAAACACAUACAUGUAAUGGCUAUCUAAUAUCAAUUUUUAUUUUAAAAAUAUUGGAAGUGAGUACUACACAUAAUAGAAGAAUGUGCUUUUUAACUCUGAUUUUACAAGUUAAAAAUAUGACAAUGCCUGUAUUAUUUUUCCUUUUGGGAUUAAAGCCACCUGCUAUAUAGACAAAUUUUAUUUAUGUUGUCCUCCUAUAAUAAAAGUGAAAUUACUGAAUAGAAUAUUAGUGUGAACACUCAUACUACUUCUACUGUCAUUUUCAUGAAGAUCAACCUCCCCCACUGAUAUUGGAGUUAUACAAAUACUAAAACAAGAAUUCAAUCCCAUGUUUCUGGGUUCUGUAGUUGAGCCAAAGGACCAGGUGUGACUGAACCAUGUCUAUUCAUAACAUAAGGUGGACUACUUAUUAGCAUUUUAGAGAAUGGUUCAAAUUCUACCAUCUAAAAUAUAUAACAAGUGAAUUGUCAAAAAAAUUACCAUGACAUUACUUGGGUUGGGUUAUUCGACUCAUCAAUUUUAAUUUGGAAAUUAAGAAGAAAAAUUUUUUCAAAGAGGGCCCUCUGAAGACAUUUCUUUCUUAGAAAGGUCAUUUUAUGCAUUUAGAGGGGCUAAUUAUUUUGCUCUGAGCUACUAAAAUGUAUAUCUAUAUGAUACUAUUUUUCUAGGACAGGGAGGUUUGGUUUAUUUGACGGGCCAUAAAAAACACAUGCACAUAAAAUUCAGCUGUUCAUCUAUUGUCUAUCUUUUGCUCUUUCAAGAGUUACAUAUAGACAAAAAGUGUGUUUUUGUUGUUGUUUAAAACAAAUACAUCCAUGUAGCACUGCCUUAAACAUGAAAAUUGUGAAAAAAUCACCUUACACUCCCCCAUAAAAAAGCAAAAGAAAUUAUGUGUUACGCUCAAAGAUCACGAGUUACAUGCUGAAUUGGCUUCCAAAUAGCAUAUAUGCUAAAUAAUAUGUUUUCUGUUAAAACUUGUAAAAUUCAAGAAAAACUGUUUCCUUAAUGGAGGAUUUAAGAGCAAAACACUGAAAUCCCAACAGAUUUGCUACUUUCAAUAUGUGCUGAAGAAAUAUUCAUUAAAUGGAGCAGUGGGUCAGCAAUAAAAUUUCCAAAUGCUUAUUACAUAAAUUUUAACAUUAUAACUUACAGAAUAUAACCACCAAAUAGAGAGCACAACUAAAAACAAAAUGUUAAAUGCAUUUUAUUUUACAAUGGUAAAGGAAAUAAAUCCCAGAUUAGGUUAAAAUGUUGGGUUUGAUGCCUUAUCAAAGUGGUCUUCAUGAAAAUAUUUACCAAAUUAUAGUUCUACAUAUCUCCCAAUCCUGUUUUAAUGUUAAUUUACAAUGUAAGUUAUAUUUCUGAAAAUCUUCAAUGAGUGAGACAUAUGCGCUCUUAAAUCAAUGUAAUUUUGAAAAGUAUUGGAAACUUUAAAACUUCAACAAUGUUCUCAAUUAUAUGCUUUAACUUCCCAUAUUUUUAAAGUUGAACGACUACUUCCAGGUAAUAGAUGCACUGAAUAAAAAGGAUUUUUAAUUGUAUCUGAGGCAUUUUUCAUCUUAUUUUUAUCAAUGCAUAACUAAACUGUGACUUUAAAGACAAAUGUUAAACUCUCUAAUUUGAAUGUAUUUUAAUAGAUCUUUGCUGAUGUAAGAAGAUGGAAUUUGGGCACAGAAGGCUUUCCGAGUUUUGAGGGGAAGUUGACAUUUCUAGCUCUGAUAUUUUUGUCUUGAAUUUAGAUGGCUUUUCUCUAAAUUAAAUCAACUAGUUAAUCCUUCUCUUUCAAUUCUGUUCAACUAAAUUGGGCAUGAGUCACUAUUAGAAGAAUAUAUAAAACUUUAAAAGUUAUAAAUACCCUACUUGUAGAAGUUUGAUAAUAAUGUGUGGAUAUUUUUGAAAUACAAGAAUAUUCUGGUUUAAAAAAUAUGUAUCUGUAGCUGACAAAAUUUGUCUCACAGAUAUGAAUGUUAGAAUUAUAUUAAAAAUUGCUUUCUUUUUUGGUUUUGGUUAGGUUCCUGAAAAAAAAAAACUUCCUAAACCAAGACUCAGUAUUGCGUUUGUACAAAAUAAAAUGGCUACAUAUUAAACAGGCAAAGAUAAUACUGUUUCUCUUUGGUAAUGGGAUGUCAUAUGCUUUAGAGUAGGGUUUUUAAAAAAAUAACUUCUAUUAACUCCUUUUGGCAAAGAGGCUAGCAUUCAUUAAUUUACAGAAAAACUUUUCCAUUUACUACCCUAAUCAGCAGAAUGAAAUAAUACUCCUUCUCAAGGGAACUAGCCUAAUCCUGGAGAGAUAUUCAUACACUAUUGAAGACUGAUAUUUUUCUGGUUGGUUGGGAGCAAAGUACUAGCUUGGUAACGGUAUCUAUAGAAAGCAAGCCAUGAGAAAUAAAGCUACAGCUUUUUCUUCAGUGAUACCAUCCCCAUUCAAGAGGUUUAAAUUCUUUCUCUUGAGAAAAUCAUAGAUAGCAGUUCUGAGAGCUUUGCUGUUACAAGGGAAAUACAUGCUUAAAAUGUUAGGAGAACAUACCUAGCUUUCAGGCCAUUCUUCCAUCAGGACUUAAAGCUUUAGGAGAAUACCAUAAAUAAUUUGCUUUUUAGGAAAGAAGGAGUUUAAAUUCUCAAUGGGAUCAAAGAAAGCUAUGGGAGCACAUGGGGUAUGAGAUAUUUCCAAAUAGCUUCAGAAUUCUGCUAUUCAGUGUCAAAUACCACUCUGGAAAAUAUUGAACCUACUGAAUCUAUACCCAUG
Molecule: long non-coding RNA, 5493 nt
Filed under: Homo sapiens (human)
Lineage: Eukaryota; Metazoa; Chordata; Mammalia; Primates; Hominidae
Description: HSALNT0284001
Source: RNAcentral